UCAGACGUGAGUACCCGCUGAACUUAAGCAUAU
This 33-nucleotide ribosomal RNA is filed under the name Pratylenchus vulnus (walnut meadow nematode). Its description in RNAcentral is "partial 28S ribosomal RNA". The record is from RNAcentral. Lineage: Eukaryota; Metazoa; Nematoda; Chromadorea; Rhabditida; Pratylenchidae.